UGGGCGCAAGCCUGAUCUAGCCAUGCCGCGUGAGUGAUGAAGGUCUUAGGAUCGUAAAGCUCUUUCGCUAGGGAUGAUAAUGACAGUACCUAGUAAAGAAGCCCCGGCUAACUCCGUGCCAGCAGCCGCGGUAAUACGGAGGGGGCUAGCGUUGUUCGGAAUUACUGGGCGUAAAGCGUACGUAGGCGGAUCAGAAAGUAUGGGGUGAAAUCCCAGGGCUUAACCCUGGAACUGCCUCAUAAACUCCUGGUCUUGAGUUCGAGAGAGGUGAGUGGAAUUCCAAGUGUAGAGGUGAAAUUCGUAGAUAUUUGGAGGAACACCARUGGCGAARGCGGCUCACUGGCUCGAUACUGACGCUGAGGUACGAAAGUGUGGGGAGCAAACAGGAUUAGAUACCCUGGUAGUCCACACCGUAAACGAUGAAUGCCAGUCGUCGGGCAGUAUACUGUUCGGUGACACACCUAACGGAUUAAGCAUUCCGCCUGGGGAGUACGGNCGCAAGAUUAA
This 507-nucleotide ribosomal RNA is filed under the name uncultured Paracoccaceae bacterium. RNAcentral's name for it is "bacterial SSU rRNA". It matches the Rfam family "Bacterial small subunit ribosomal RNA", at positions 372 to 897 of the family's 1533-position model. The record is from RNAcentral. Lineage: Bacteria; Pseudomonadati; Pseudomonadota; Alphaproteobacteria; Rhodobacterales; Paracoccaceae.